Molecule: ribosomal RNA, 249 nt
Filed under: uncultured Streptococcus sp.
Lineage: Bacteria; Bacillati; Bacillota; Bacilli; Lactobacillales; Streptococcaceae
Description: partial 16S ribosomal RNA
Rfam family: Bacterial small subunit ribosomal RNA
Source: RNAcentral
GGGCACUCUAGCGAGACUGCCGGUAAUAACCGGAGGAAGUGGGGAGUGACGUCAAAUCAUCAUGCCCCUUAUGACCUGGGCUACACACGUGCUACAAUGGUUGGUACAACGAGUUGCGAGUCGGUGACGGCGAGCUAAUCUCUUAAAGCCAAUCUCAGUUCGGAUUGUAGGCUGCAACUCGCCUACAUGAAGUCGGAAUCGCUAGUAAUCGCGGAUCAGCACGCCGCGGUGAAUACGUUCCCGGGCCUU